UGCAUCGGCCGGGAAUCGUACCCGGGCCGCCCGCGUGGCAGGCGAGCAUUCUACCACUGAACCAUCACCGAUGC
Molecule: transfer RNA, 74 nt
Filed under: Cordylochernes scorpioides
Lineage: Eukaryota; Metazoa; Arthropoda; Arachnida; Pseudoscorpiones; Chernetidae
Description: tRNA-Gly
Source: RNAcentral